CAUGCUCCCGGCCGCCAUGGCGGCCGCGGGAAUUCGAUUAGAGUUUGAUCAUGGCUCAGAUUGAGCGCUGGCGGCAGGCCUAACACAUGCAAGUCGAGCGGUAGAGAGGUGCUUGCACCUCUUGAGAGCGGCGGACGGGUGAGUAAUGCCUAGGAAUCUGCCUGGUAGUGGGGGAUAACGCUCGGAAACGGACGCUGAUACCGCAUACGUCCUACGGGAGAAAGCAGGGGACCUUCGGGCCUUGCGCUAUCAGAUGAGCCUAGGUCGGAUUAGCUAGUUGGUGGGGUAAUGGCUCACCAAGGCGACGAUCCGUAACUGGUCUGAGAGGAUGAUCAGUCACACUGGAACUGAGACACGGUCCAGACUCCUACGGGAGGCAGCAGUGGGGAAUAUUGGACAAUGGGCGAAAGCCUGAUCCAGCCAUGCCGCGUGUGUGAAGAAGGUCUUCGGAUUGUAAAGCACUUUAAGUUGGGAGGAAGGGCAUUAACCUAAUACGUUAGUGUUUUGACGUUACCGACAGAAUAAGCACCGGCUAACUCUGUGCCAGCAGCCGCGGUAAUACGAAUCACUAGUGAAUUCGCGGCCGCCUGCAGGUCGACCAUAUGGGAGAGCUCCCA
RNAcentral lists this ribosomal RNA (617 nucleotides) under uncultured Gammaproteobacteria bacterium. Its description in RNAcentral is "partial 16S ribosomal RNA". It matches the Rfam family "Bacterial small subunit ribosomal RNA", at positions 1 to 598 of the family's 1533-position model. Lineage: Bacteria; Pseudomonadati; Pseudomonadota; Gammaproteobacteria. The record is from RNAcentral.